RNAcentral lists this long non-coding RNA (19163 nucleotides) under Marmota monax (woodchuck). Lineage: Eukaryota; Metazoa; Chordata; Mammalia; Rodentia; Sciuridae. The record is from RNAcentral.
GUGAGAUUUAAGAAAAGCCUCAGUAGGGACAAAGAUACAGACUUUCCUUUCUUUGAAGACAAGAAAGAAUACUCAGAAUUCUGAUAAUCAGUGGUACAGAAUGGAUCAUUUCCUUACGUAAGAAAUACAACUUAACUUGAAACAACACGAAGAUCAUACUUAAUGUUAAAGCACAAGAGUUAUAUGUAUUAACAUAAAAGUAUAAGAAUGAUUACUCUUAAAAUUAAGUUUCCUGAAAUUUUAGGGAAACUUCAAUGAGAAUAGUAACUGUGCACUCAUUUGUUCUUUUGGAUAUCUCCUGACACUUCUAGUCACCAGCCUAAGAUCCUCUCAGACCACUCUUUGCUCAGUCACUGAUGAACAACCUGCUUCCUGUAGUGGAAGCUGGCAGGACCCUGCUCCAGCUGUGCUCACCAUCAGUUCCUGUGCUAUGGAGACCAGCAGGCAAGUUCCUACUUGGAUUUUGGAUCUUAAAUAUUUCAUUAAAACUUGUCUUUACUUUGAACAGGACUUCAGUGUGUCUAAAACUCACUUUAUUUCAAUGUUAACAUUUCCUUCCAAAGUGAUAUAAUUUGAAGUUUAGAAUUGGUGUUUGGAUUUUCCUUUUCAUUUUUCUCACUUAAAAAUUAUAUCCUUAGAUAGGGAGGAAAAGAAACCCCAUUAUUUCCCACAAUUGCCACUUUAAAAUAAGAGACAAGAGUGAGAGAAUAUACAUCAAAAAGACUAGCAUUUUUUAAAGAAUUUUUUAUUUUUAUUUUUUUAGUUGUGAUAGGUCUUUAUUUAUAUGUGGUGCUGAGAAUUGAACCCAGUGCCUCACACAUGCCAGGCAAGUAUACUAUGGCUGAGCCCCAGCCCCAGCCCCAAGAUUAGCAUUUUUAAUAAUUGUUAGUUUUUUGUUGCCAUUACCAGACUACCUGACAAGAACAACUUAGAGAAAGAAAGAUUUAUUUUGGCUCUCAGUCUCUAAGACUUCACCCCAUGGGAGGCUGUCUUUAAGAUAGAAACAGCAUGGAAAGGUAUGGUGGAGGAAAGCUGCUCAGAUCAUGGUAACCAGGAAGCAGAGAGGGUAGUGGAGAGGAAGGAAAGAAGGGGCCAGGGCACACCUCAAUGACCUACUUUUCUUCAACUAAGUUCCACCUCCCUGUAGUGUAUUCAGUUCUCCAUGGAUUAAUCUACUGAUGAGGUCAGAGCCCUCAUGAUCCAACCAUUGCAUAAAAGCCUCAUCUCUGCACCUUGCUGCAUUGGAGAUCAUGCUUUCAACACAUAGACUUUUGGGGAACAUUCUAGAUUCAAACCAUAACAGCUUCUUUUUUCCCUGAACUAACUCUUCAGUAGUCUUGCCUGAAUAUAUGCACAAAUGUUGAUUCCAUGUUGAUUGAUGCCCAGCAAAAUUAUGCAAGAUUCCUAAGUCCUGUGUUGGAGAAAAUAGUCAUUGUGUACCCAGAAGAGGGGAAACCUUUUUUCCUUGAUAGGUUCCUGAAAACUGAUAUAAUUGUUUAAUUACUAACCACAUGCCUGGCUCUCAGUAAAAGUAUGAAGUUGUUUAAAAGAAUUUUUUAGUUUUAUUUUUUUAGAUGUUGAUAGACCUUUAUUUAUAUGUGGGCUGAUAAUUGAACCCAGUGCCUCACACAUUUACUUUACUUUUCCACUCUUCAUGAUAAUAGUUUUCCAGCUCUCCUCAGGUAGUACAACAAAGUUUGAGGUUAUUCCUUCCCAGGGUCCUUGCUUUUUGAAUAGGAGACCUUGGGAUUUGAGGUGUGUCAGGGACAUGGCAGACAUGAUGCUGGCUGCCUUCCAUAUGUGAUUGUUAUGUGGCUUACUCUGUGUGGAUGAAUAGGAAUGGUGCUGAGAAAUGGAUUAAGUGAAUUGUCAGGCUCACACAGGUAGCUAGGUUUGCAGGUUUAGUGACUUGAGAGCCUAUGUUCUUUGUAUUAAAACAUUUUAAGGUUUGAAUCAUCUGUGCUGGAAGUUCAGGCUUUGUGCCAGUCCCACAGGAAAAACACAUUAGGCUGGAAGCAUUACUCUACCUACUGCCCUUCAGAUUACAUGAGGUGGAUUUAAUUAGUUCUGCUAACUGGUUUUGUAUAGCUGUAACUUAAGUCUUUUUAAUGUAGGCUUAUUUCAGAGACUUCAAUCUUUGUUUUGAACAUAUUCAAUUAAAUUCAAUUUAGCAAACAUUUAUUGAAUGCCUGUUCUUUGCCAGGCACUGUACUAGAUGCUGGUGGGUACAAAGAUAGUCCAUUUAGGGAGAGAGACAUUACAAGACCUAAUAAUUAUAAUACAAUUCACUGAAUGAUAUAAUAGAGGCAUAUGCAAGGGACUGAGGGAACAUAUGAGGAAACAAUUAAUUCUGUCCUGAGGGAAGAUGUCAGGCAGUGCUAUAUUGAAUCAGAACCUCAAAGGACAAGAGAUCAGAAAUUUCCAGAAGAGGCUGAGAGUUCGUUUCAGGUGAUGGAACAGCAUGAGGAUGUGUAUGAAUAUGCCUGGGAUGUUUAGGGGACCGAAAUAAUGGCAGAUUGUAAAACCAGUCACAGAUUCUUCCCCUUCGUGCAUAUAACCACCCACAAUAAGACUUCUAUAGGUUCUUCCAAUAAUAAGUGGAUUCUCUUGAGUUGAUCAUGGUCUAUGUAUAUCAGCAAACAUGAAACAAACAGAGCCCUGAAGAGUUCUUAUGCCCUAGGGUUUCUGGAACCCUGAGGCUGCAUUGUGAAUGAGCCAGGAGGAUGAAUGGCCACAUACAGGAGAACUGAGGGUCUGGCUGACAGUGUUUGAAACACUAGACUUGUGAUGAGAUCAUCUUAGAUCAUCUAGUUACCGGCUGAUCCACCAUUGGCUCAUAAACAAUGGGAGAGUCCAGGGAGAAUCAGUUGUUAGUUCACAUUUCUUCUGAUCCAUCUAGGUUGUUAGCCCAGACAGAAUGCUCCAGAUGACUCCAGACUUCCGAGCUAAAUAAUUGGGUCUUUUGUUGUCCAGCAAAGCUGGUACACAGAGGGUAUAUGUAGAGUACAGGGAAUACUGGAAGAGGAGGUGGAGAUGAUGAAGAGGAGUAGCAUUUAUGGUAUCAUGCUUUGGAGUUCAGAAUUUUUCUAAUACCAAGUUUUUCAAACUUCAUUAAUUCAUAUAACACUUUCAUCUUUUUGAAAUGUCUUCAAGCUACCUGAAAGGUUUUUCUUUAAAUUGCUCAAUUUUUGUGCUGAAAAUUAUUUUGAAAGUAAACUUACUAUUAACAUGACAUCCAAGUCUGAUGUGUUAGUUCUGUUUUUAUUAACCUAUUAAAUGUGUAAAUAUUUAAUCUGUUGAUAUGUUUGCUAUUAAAUAUCAUCUUAGAUAUUAUAAAUGGUGCUUUUUAUGAUUUUCUGCUUUAAUCAGUAGGAAUCAAGAAUAGUGAGGAGAAUAAUUGGAGACAGAGAAGCUACUGAAGAGGUCCAGGUGGGAUAUGGUGGGUGGUAGACUCAGAGACUUCAGGUUUGUUCCGGAAGAAGAGAAUGGAUCUGGUGACAGACUUGAGGCAUGUGGGGUAGAAAUAGGGAGUGUGAAGGAGAGGAAGAAGUGCAAAUACAGCUGAGGCAACUAGUUCAAUAGUUUGGCCAUUGAGUGGAUACUGAAACUAUUAAGAAAGGGAAAGGAGGAAAAAAAAUAAACAGUCACCAGAUGCAGUGUUACACACCUGUAAUCCCAGUGACUCAGGAGGCUGAGGCAGGAAGAUUGCAAGUUCAAGGCUAACCUCAGCAAUUUAGUGAGGCCCUAAGCAAGUUAGUGAGACUGUUUCAAAAUAAAAAAUAAAAAGGGCUGGGAAUGUGACUUGUAAUAAAGCACCUCUGGAUUUAAUCCCCAAUACCAAAAAUAAAUAAAUAAACAAACACAAUUGAUUUGAAAUACUUGUUGAGCUUGAGAUAGUAGGUCAUUUGAAAACAGGUGUACUAGGCAUUUGGAUAUGUAGAUAUGGUCUUAAGAUAUUAUUUUUGAAGUCAUCAAUAUAUUUAGGUGGUAGGUAGUUGAAGUUAUAGGAGUUGAUGAUGUCAUCUAGAGGAAGUAAUUAGUAGAGAGGUGUUCAGCUGUCUUACCCUCACCCAGACUCUUAAGAAACACAUUGUACUCCAGCUAGAGAUAGUGAGCGGUUUGUAUGGGUGAUGAUGGAGGGUACCUCUGUACAUGGAAAAUGUAGACUGUUUGAUUUUGAUGGAGUGCCUCCACUCUUUGUUGAUUUAGAGUGAAUUGAAGGUAGGACCAAGGAUGAGGAAUUAGUGAAGAGAAAAAAGUAGACUGAGAGGCUGGCUUGUCUAAGAGGGAGAGAACUGUUAUAGAAAUGAAGGAACUUUAGGAUGAAAGGGCAACCCUCAGUGCCAAACGCUGCAGAGAAAUCCAGUAGUAUGAAGAUUGUUCUUUAAUAAGAGCUGGUUCCUCAAAGUACAAUAGCCAGGAUAUAUUGGAACAGAGAAAAGGUUUGGGUGAGUGAUUUAUGUAGGACUGUUUUGUGUUUGAAAUACUCCAUAAGCCUUAAAUAUUCAAGUCCAACAGAAUUUGUUAUUGUACUCUAUCAGGCUUGAAAAUCAAUGUGGUUUUAAAAAAUCUUCUUUCUCUGUCCAUAGUCAGUGUCUUAGAAAAGACAUUGUCUUGGAAAGAUUUGGUAAGCACCAUUAUCCUGAUCAUAGUGAAAAGUAAUGUUUGAGCCUGUACUUAGGAAAUAAUGCUAGAGAUAAGGAUGCUGACGAACAUCUUUUAUAUGAUCACUCCACAUGUGGACCUCCUGCCUCUGGCACCCUUGGUUUCCAGAAGCAAGUUACCUGCUUUAUGUUGUUUUGGGUUUAUGGAAACAACAUUCUUUAUUGGCAGAAUUGGAAAUCCAUUAGCUUACUUGGUUCUCAGAUAAGUUCUAUACUCAUAUUAAUAAUUUCUUUUGAUAUUAAUACUAUUUUAAAAAUGAAUGAAUUUUUAUCUGGCUUUGUCUGGAGCAAAGGUCCCAGAUCAGGGCAGCAGAAUUUCCUUAGACAUGAUUUUGUACCACCCAUCCUACUCAGGGAAGUCUCUGCAAUUCAUUUGACAUGUGAUGGUGGCUUCACCCUAAAUGUGCCCUGAAAGCAUUCCUGCUGUGCCCCUUCCGUACAAGUUCAAACACAUCAUGGGAAGUGAACAAGUGGAGACCCAGCUUUCCUGGAAGGAAUCAAGAAAAUCUUGCCUCACCCAGCUCCACCUGGGCACUGAUGUCCGCUUCAGGAAAUUUGACCACCCGUGGAAUAGAGACUGUUGUCCUGCUCACUUGGCACCUUCCUCCUUUUCUCCUCUAAACUCCCCAGUGCCCUCUUCAUGCUGCAUUCUAAGUUUUCCCAGAGAAGGGAAAUUGCUCCAGGACCUUUUAUAAAUGAAAGAAGCGGUGUCUUUCACUGUAGAUUCAUCAGGGCAGCUGGAUUUAAUUAUCUACAAUUAAAUGUGGUACUGUGUUGACUGAGGCAGGAGAAUGACACAUUUUAGAACAACGAAGCAGUCCAAAGCUAGACCUACAGAUUAUUGUAUUCAUUUGGGCUUGUUUUAAACAAAGAUAUUGAAAUGCUAAAAGAAAAUGGGUGUAUAACAAGGAAGUUAAGACAUAAAAAUAAAAGGAAAAGGAAAGUCUUUUUGCUUUUCCCUUGCUACAGUCUUUCUAAUUCCAUUUUCUGCUCCAGGAUAAUGAGUGCAUUUUAAGUAAAACCUGAGUGCUCUUUUUGCUCCCUGUCUUCCAACUCCUGCAAAUACCAGUUCAGCCACUCUUUCAGAUCCACUUCAAGGAAACAUAGGCAUGAAAACUAUCCCCCCCCCCAUCCCCCCCCCGCCCCGCCCCCGUUUGUCUGAACUGACCGCAGUUUUGCAUCACACGCUGGGUCCAGUUGCUGGAGUGGGGAACCAAGAGCCCGUGAGCAAGCACUUAGCUGAGUGAGACAGGCGGGCCGUGUGGAAGGAUGUAGGUGAGCCAGAAACUAAUGGGAAAAAUAGGGGGUUGUCACUAAUUUUGAUGUGGGGAUAUCUGAAAAGCUCUUCUGCAUGCCAGGGUAUUUGAAUAUUUGGCAAACAGCUGGCUGGGCUCUGGGAGAGCGCCUCUCGAUUCGCCUCGUCAGAUGUUCAAAGAUAAAAUGAGGCAGCCUGCACGCCAGCACAUAGCUCAUAGCCUUGCAGUCAGUUUUGAAUUUAGAUUUGAAUUGUGAUAUCAAUGUCAUGGUGGCACAUGCUUUGAGAAAGUACUUACAGAGAAUAAUUGAAAGAUUCAGUGUGAAGCUUCUGAAAGCCGUAAUUUAAAGUUCCAGAAGCCUCCAUAUUACUCUCACCAUUAAAAUUUAAAGUGACAGAAGCCCAAUUAUGUAUGGUUAUUUUCUUAAAUAAAAUCAUAUUUCUCACCCAAGUGAAAGAUUCAUUGCUGCCCACUAAUCUCUGUCAGGAGAACCAAUCUCGAUAGCGUCCAGUGUAGGCAGCGAAGACCGAAGCUUUAUCCUAGGGACAAUGGAGCGGCACUGGGUGGGGGGAAGCCAAGCUGGAAGGUCUCCAUGGAGGAAGCUCACUUUCGGGAGGCUGAUUUGCAUGAUAAUCACCAUUAUGGAUCCUCUCUGGUGCCAGCCUCCACACUUAACCAAAUGCAGUAUAACUUUAAGAGCAGCUGAGAAGCCCGAGAAGGGGCCCUAGCACACAUUUUGCAAAGCCUGAAUGACGUCAAAACCUGCUAGUUAUGAGGAGGCUGCAGUUGUAAAGCUGAACCACGCAGGGGAGUGGAGACUUGGAACAUAACUUGUAAACCUGAUCCAUGAUAUAACACUGGACACUGUUGAAAGAUAUGUAGUGUCUCCUCUCUUCUUUUAACUCAAAGAAAUCUGUUUACCAGAAGGAACCUUGUCUUAUUAGGACUUCUGUGGCCACUGAAAUUAUGGCGUGAAAAUACAUCUGUGGAAACUUUCCACAGAAACAUUUCCAGUGUUGAAAUGUUAGUCUCUGUCAGAUAAGAAUAUGGAGCCAAAUUUUUAGACUAUGACUCUUUCCACCGAUUUAUUUGGUCUGUUUGAUUUUACUUUACAUUGCACUGUGAUUUGGGGAAUAUGGUAUAAUGGUAGCCAGAACUGCCAUGAAAAGUUAUACAGGGCCAGUCAAGCUUAAACCACUGUUAUUUAUGAAAAACUUUAUUCCUCAGAGUUCCUGGGGACAAAUAAGCUUGGGAAUCAACUAUUAUCAUGAUGUAUGACAUUGAAUGAUACAAUAUAUAUAUCUAUUAAUACCAUUCUAAGCGAUGUCUUAUAAGCAACAAAUCACAUUAUUUCUCAAAAAUUUCACAGUUUGAUAGAACAUUUAUAAAUAAGUCUUACUUCUGCUAAGUUUUUGUCCUGACUUUAGUAUAACCAGCCCUUCAGCAGUUUGGAGUUUUAUUUUUUGUUUUCUGCAUUUAUCCUUAGGAUCAAUCCACUUUUUACAAUUACAUAUUACUCUGUGAUAUGAGCUUUAUUUCUGAAACUUCCUUCUCUUUGUUCAUGACUCAGUAAGAAGCAUGCAUCCACAUUCACUUAUGCCCAUGAUUCCAUCCUUGUGUUUAGACUCUUGCUGUAAAUUAUUUGUUUUCUUUCAUUAUUUUUAUUGUUAACCUUUUCUUAACCUCUCCCUUAAAAAUUAAAAAAAAAAAUCCUUACUUAAAUUUCCUAUUUUGUCUUCUUUCUUUCGAUUCUCCUUGACUCGUCUACUUUCUUGCCAAUGCUUCUUGCCAUUCACUAUUAAACUUUUUGCAAUUUGGAUUCAGCAGCCUCUGAUGUACUUAGACUACUUUCUGAGGCAAAGACUACUUAACAGACCACUUUUUCUCACCCUGCCAUAGAGGGAGAGUGACUUAUCUAAUAGGUAAAUUUUGGGAGAAUAUCUGGGCCACCUUAGCUUAAUGUCAUAUUUCUAUGUGGAAAAGAGCCUGCCUAGCAAGUGCUCACAUUAUUCCUGAGGCAAGGGCCCACCCCAGCUGUUGCUGUCCUGAUUUACCUGGAUGGUGAAUUCCAUAGUUCAGAUAGCCAGGUGUGUGUUGCUCUUCACACAACUGCCUCCUCCGUGGCUUCAAUCAGUAAUAAAGCUCAAAUUCUAGUCUCCCAUCUGUUUUAUUUUCAUAUGGUUUCUUAAAAUUUAGAACUAUUUUGUGUGUUUAUGUAUUUUAUUUAUAUCACAUAACAGAAAUGUACAUAACUAUGUGUAAUCUCUCAACUCUGGAUGUUUAGAUCACUUAACAUUUUUGCUAUUACGAACACUGUUACAGUGAACAUGGUGGUGUUAUUAUUUUUUGUGAACUUGUGCUACUGUUCCUAUAGCAUAGAUUCCUAGAAGUGGAUAUAUCAUAAGAUUUAAUUGAUUAAUAAUAAGCAGACACUCAGGUUGGAAAGGAUUCUCAGAGAGCCCAGAGUUUAUCCCACACUCCCAGAAAGGAUAUUUUCUUCUUGCUGUGACUUUGAAAAGUACAGAGAACAAGACUCCAUGUUCUAUCCAUAAUGCCUUCCAGCAUUAUAUAAAUAUACACAUUAUGUGAUAAUUCCUGGCCAUUUAACAUGGCCAGAUUUUCUACUCAUGCUGCACUUGUUUCUAAUAGAAAUAUGCUUCCAUGUGCCCUGAGUGGGAAAAUGUUCAAAAAUGUGACAGUCAACCAAGCACAUAUCUGCAGUACCAAUCUCACUGAUGCUACGGUCAGUAACUGCAAAUGCUCCAAAUAAAUUCUAUAUGCUCUGGAGGGGACCACCUGAAGAAAUCAGGAUGCCACAGCUAUACCAAGUUGCUUCUAUCAAAAUGGCACCAUAAAAGACAUGAUGGGAGUCCUACUCUUCUGGCCCUUGGAGGCAGAAGACUAAGUCCUACAGUAAUGCUCUUGUGAGUCAGGUUGACAAACUGAUCAGGCAACACAAAAUAAGGGAUUGUCAAGUUAUGGAAGUGCCAGAUAGUUGUAUUAGUAUAUACUGUAGAAUAGGGAAUUUGCAUUUUUUUUAUACUGCAUGGAGAAUAGAUGUGGGAGAUUAGUUCACUCUGGUGUCCAAGACUGUAAACCUAUCCCUCAGAAUGGUCCUCAGCAAUCUGUUUUUACAUCUUGGUUCUCUGUCUUGUAGAAGUGGGUGAUCUGUUGGGAAUCUAGUCAGAUUAGAGAUGAUCUUCAAUCUGGCUUUACUCCCUACAUCACAAUGAAUCAGGUCUGAAAGAAGAGUUGAGCUGCUCUUCACCUGGAUUGUCCUGCUUGUGUCCCAAGGCUGGUUUCCUUGCCGAGAUGUGUAAGUCAGCUCUUUUAUAGGCUGGCCUAAAGAAAAGAAAAAGAAACAGAAGCAACUUGGUAUAGCUGUGGCAUCCUGAUUUCUUCAGGUGGCCCCCUCCAAAGCAUAUAGAAUUUAUUUGGAGCAUUUGCAGUUACUGGCUGUAGCAUCAGUGGGAUUGGUACUGCAGAUAUGUGCUUGGUUGACUGUCACAUUUUUGAACAUUUUCCCACUCAGGGCACAUGGAAGCAUAUUUCUAUUAGAAACAAGUGCAGCAUGAGUAGAAAAUCUGGCCAUGUUAAAUGGCCAGGAAUUAUCACAUAAUGUGUAUAUUUAUAUAAUGCUGGAAAUGACCAGGCAGCCUGGCUGUGUUAGGUCAUCCCGCUGCUCACCAAAGAAGUUUGAAAUGGACUUUUAAUUAUAAUUGCUGAUUUGCUGUGAGUAUAUUCUUUAAUGUGAUAUCUGAUUAGGUUAAUUUUCUUUAAUUGAUGAAUAAAGCACUUAAACUUGUAGGCUUGAGUUUGUUGUUACAUACUGGCAAUUUUAUGUUCUGACUUGUGCUGGAGUACAAAUUACAGGCACUCCUUGUCUGUUUUAGUUUUGAGGUCACUGUUCUUCCUUCCUUCACCUUUGUGUGGCUUUUUAGACUAAUGGAGAUAGAGCAGGGCUAAGUGACUAUUAAAUUCUUUUCCAUAUACAGUAAAAGCCAUUAACAUGGACCUCACUAAAUUUGGAAUUUAUGAAAAUGAGGGCAGGGCCUGGGUUAAAGUUUACUUUUGCAUUGUCUCUGAACUAAAGCUUUGCUGAGCUAAUAAAGAGUAUAAAUAAGAUUAUAGGGGGAUGGCACUAUUGAUUUAAAAAGUGGACUUUUGAAGCUUGUCAGAGAAAAAGCCUUGUAAGAGAAGUAAUGAAAUAGUGUGCAGAAUGACACAGUGCAAAUCCUGGGCCACUUACUAGCCAUGUGACCUUAAUUUCUCUUGAAUAUUUCCUUCAUCCAUAAAAUGGAGAUAGUUAUCUACUUUAUAGGGUUGCUGUGAGGGUUAGGAUUAAUGUAUAGAAAGUGACUAGUGUGAAGUAGUUACUUCAUAAAUGGCAGGUAAUUAUUGCCAACCUAAAAUACAUGGUAAGCUGAUUUCAAAUACUUUUCAUUUUUUUUCUAAAGCAAGGUAGCUUGGAACUUCACAGUUUGUUAACAUCACCUGAGAUAUUGCUUUAUUAUUAUUCUUGUUACUUGAUUGAAGGAAAACCCUGGCAUUUGGUGGUUGUAAAGAGCAGGAGUUUGGGAGUCAGAUAAACUCAGGUUUGGAAGCAGUACUACUGCUUAUUAGCUAUGUGGCCCUGGGCAGAUUACUGAAUGUCUCUCCAGUUUUGUGUUCUAAUUUGUAAUAAUGAGAGCUUAGUACUGUUUUAGUGCAUUUAUGCUGCUGUAACAAACUACCUUAAAUUAGAUAAUAUAUGAAGAAUAGAAAUAUCUAUCUCACAGUUGUAGAGAUUGGAAAGUCCAGGAUCCAGCAUCUGGCAAGGGUGUCUACUUGCUGCAUCCUCACUUGGUAGAAGAGGAGGGGGUGGGGAGAGGGAAAAUAGAGGGAGGUAGGGAGAGAAGGGAGUGAAAUUCUUCUUUAAAAUAGCACCAAUCCUACCUGUGAGUUUGGAGUUUCCACCACUAUCAUCUUUUAAAUUUCCACCAUUUAAUACUGUUACAAUGGCAAUUAAAUUUCAAGAUGAGUUUUGGAGGGGGCAGAAAAUUCAAACCAUAGCAAUAUCUGCUCCAGGACUGUCUUGAAGACUAAAUGAAAUAAUGCAUGUAAAGUGUUCAGCUCAGUGCUUUUCAUGUAGUAAAUUAUCAAAUGUCAGCUGUUGUUGCUAUCUUUUGAUGAUUGUCCACACAUUACACUUUUCAUUCAUUUAGACUUGUCUUCUUCAGUUCACCCACAUUCAUGAAUUUGACUCUAGCUAUAAUUUCUCUUCUGGGUGAGAAUUUUAAGCAUGUGAAAAUGCCUUUAUAAAUAGGGGUGAAAAGAGAAAGAAUAGAAUUUUUAAAGUGGGGGCAUGAAGAACUAAAAGUUAGACCUAAAUUACUGCAUGGUGAAUUUGGUAGAUAAUCUUUGUGUCCUUUAUUAGAGGUCUUUAUAUUAGUUAGAAAUAAAUGGAACUUUAUACAUAAGUAGUAACAAGAACAGAGCAUUGGCCAGCUCAUAGCAUUCAUUGAGAGAGAAAAACAGUAAGUCCUAGCCAGACUUUAUUUUCAUCUUUCUGCUUUUCUCUUACCUUGCACUGGCUAUAUGGGGAGAAAUGUAAACAACAUAAUGUACUGCAUUGAGACUAUGAUAUAUCCUCCCCUUAAUGACAGGCUUGCACAGUGUGUAGACUCCUCAACUCAAUGGGUCAGACUGAAUUACUUCAAGGACUGGCAAAUGGGUGCCACUGGUGGUGAAAUGAAAGCAGCCAGGUACAAGUGUUUAUUAAGUGCUCAUCAUCAGGAGAAACAUAUUCUCUUCCAUGCUAUUUUGUAGAAGUGUGAAGUACCCAUUUUCCUUUGUAAAAACAGAAGAAUUACAUUUCUUGAGAUUCUUUACUAUAACAAUACAAAUUUACAAUCAUAGAUAUGUUAUAAAACCAAGGGUUUUUUUUUUUUUUUUUGUAUUAUGCAUGAACAGUGUGACUUUGUGAUAAUACUAGUGGGGACAGACCAAUAUUAGUGGGGCAGACCAGUUUUAUUGGGCCAUGUGCCUUUGGCUUUCCAAGACUGCCCAAGUUAAGUAUGUCAUUAAAAAAGUUGUCAAUUUAUUAAGAUGACAAUCAGUGGUUCAACAUAUGAGUUUUUAUAUACAUAAAUUCACAAGUCAGAAAAAAACUUUUGUCAGACCAUGUUGUCGAAGACUUUGGUAGAAAAUGUCAUCAGUCUGAUGCACACCAUGCUAAUUAGCUGUUUUAUAUCAGUUUUUUGUUGGAAGUACUGAAUUGUUAACUGGUAAGGUAUGGCAUUAUGUAUCUAAAUCUGGUAUGUCAGCAAUAUCAGGGAUAUCGAAUGCUUACUACAUGCAGGCACUGUGCUAGAAACUGGGGAUACAAUAAGAAUAGCAACAAUAAAAUGGCCUGGUCUCCUAUAGCUAACAAUAGCCCUUUGACAUGGAAAUAGACAAAAAAAUAAGUUUAUGGAGUUUAAGUGAUUUGUCCAAGGUUGGACACCUGUAAAAUGGCAGAACUGGAAUUACAGUGCUGUAUUUGUAACAGCAGCCUAACCUAUAUCCUGGUUAAGAGAUCACAUAAUAUAAUGGCUUAAACAAAAUAGAAGGAGCUCUUUGGCACAAUGGGGCUGCUGAAUCAGCUCUGAAGUCAUUAUGUAUAGACUUUGGUUAAUGGAAAAAUAGAACUUCUAUCUUAGUCCUCUGCUGUCCCUGGAUAUUGGCCUCAUUAAUAUAUCUGAAGGUACUUAAGUGUUCUAAGGGCAUUCCUGGAAGUGGGUAUUCCUAACUUCUGUUUGUGAACAGGCCCUACCUAGUUGCCAGGAGGGCCUGAAAAUAAUCUUUGAAGACAUGCACCCCUUAAAAUUCAGGGUCUUUACUAAGGAAGAGGGGGAUAAUUGGAAGUCUGUGUUACCUGCUAAUGAAAGUGUUGUUUCAAAGUGUAAUUUUGGCUAUAGAAUUGUCCAAAUAACAGUGGUCUUGUGACUUUGGGUAUGCUUAAAUCCAUUAUCCAUUUUUUCAAGUAAUAUCAUAUCAAGGUUAUGCAUAUAUGUAUGCAGUGUGUGUAUGAUAUAUUUAAAUAUUCAAAAUAUGUGAGAUAUCAUGCAUUUUACAUGAUUCCUCAGUAAAUUCUGGCCAUCUGCAAGUGCUGAUGCAGAAUUUCACACUAGAAGUCCACUGGCUUUACUCUUUGGCAGAAAGGCUUGCAAAACCCCCAGGAUUUGUCUUGCUUGCAUCCUCACUCUCAAAAAGGUCUCAAAGAUCUAUGUUGUAAGAAAUGUGUUCUCAGAGAAAUGCCUUCAUAGAAAUAAAAUUAUUCUAAGGUUUUUCAGUAAGCUGUAUACUCAGUACAUCAAUCACAAACAACUCUGAUCCAGAACUUGUUUCUCAGAAUUCUUGAUCUAUUCUGAUGUUUAGACAUUUACCAUUGACUAUUGAAAAAGCAAUUAAUAUAUAUUUAUUGAGAUAAUAUGUAGAUAUUAGUUUAUUGAGGUGGAUCCACAGAUGCUUGCCUAGGUGGCAUAUAGGCCCACAGGUAAUUGGAGGAGAUAAGUACUGGAUAGACCUUAGGUACACACUCAUGUCUUCUCACACUAUCUGGACCCUGGCUCCUGCCCCUAGAUCUUACUCAGUUGCUUCUGGGACACAUGGAGCCUUACAUAUGUACAGGCCUCCUUGGUUCUUUUCCUCUGGGUCUACUUUUUAGAUCUUAUUUCCCUGUUGUCAACAUGAAGUAGGAGAAGAAAAGGAUAAAGGCUUAAUAUACAGCUCGUCUAAUUAGUCUGCCCUAGGCCUUAUCUUGGGAGGCAGAGUGAUAUUUGUGUGUCUGUAGAGGGGACUCCUAAGUAGGAGGCAGUUCCAAAGCAGUUUUAUGACCCUGGCUCCAAGAAGUAGAAAGAAGCAAUCUAAAGAGAGUGAGAGUCUAAGAGUCAAAACCCUAAAGAGACCAAGCCUGCAGAAAUUAAAGCUUUAAUAUUUUCUCUCAAUAUAGCUAGAGCUCCACCUGCUUAUAAGAGGUUUAGCUGAGUAGGUGACUUGAUUCAGUGACCUUGUGUCUUUUUUUCCUUGGGAGUGGGGCUGGCUGGGCAGGCAGAGAGGCCAGGAGGAGAGUGGAAUUUACUGUCCUUGUGCCUCUGCAGGUCAGCACUGGGUACUGUGGAGGGUACCACCAUAAGUGUAAGACGUGGUCUUUGUUCCAGUUCUCAAAUAACUGCCAGUCUAUCUGGGGAUCUAGUGUAUAUGAACCAUUUAGUGAAAAUCAAGUACUGAACAGUGUGAUAUUGAUUAUUCCAAAGGAAUACAGAUGAUAAAUCAGUGUGAAUUUUUGUCUUGGGGAAGGCUUCUUAGAUUGUGUCACAAGUGGAGUGCUAAAGGAUGAAAAAAAGCUAAUUAAGAAGAAUGCAGGGGCUGAGGUUGUGGCUCAGCAGUAGAGCAUUUGCCUAGCACGUGCAAGGCCCUGGGUUGGAUCCUCAGCAUCACAUAAAGAAAAUAAAUUAAAAAUAUAAAGGUAUGUAAGAAAAAGGUGAAGAAUGCAGAAGAGAGGAUGUGAACAAAGAUUCAGAAUGGUUUUCAGGUCAGCAGACCUAUGCACUUGAAGCAGAGACUUCAUGUAAUAAAGUAGAAUAGGAAAGUGAAAGACUUCAAAAAUCAAAUGUGACUAGCACAUAAGAACCCAUAUAAGAUUUUUAAAAAAAAAAAACAAAACAAAACAAAGUUAAUGUUAGCUUUUUAAAUUUUUCAUGGAAUGAAAUAAGAGUAAAUUAAUUAAUGACUGACUAAUUGGAUGAUAUAUAUAUAUGUGUGUGUGUAUAUAUAUAUAUAUAUAUAUGCACUAUAUUUUUACAAUACAUAGAAUGCAAUGUAUAAAAUGAUAUAUAUUAUAUAUACACAGAAAUUAGAAAACAUUGUAGUGUUAUAAUUUAUCCAUGGAGGGCAGAGGGCAUUCUUGUGAAAGAUCUCAAAAUAUAGGUUUCUAGGGAACAGAACAGGACGAAGGCAAGUUUAGAUGUGAGGUGACUGGUUCAAGGAUUGGUAUCUGAAGAGUUCAGCAUGAGAUGUGACUAGCUGAACUACAGAAAACAGGUGAGGUUCAGAGUCAGGCAUGGUGGUAUGGUAGUGGGCAACCUCAUUGCAGCUGUAUGCCAGCCAGCAGCCAGGGUUCUGGAAAGGAAUCUAGGGAAGGGUUGUAUUAGAAUUCUAGUCAAGAAGAUUUAGAUUCAGGGCAAAGCAUAGGGCAUUGUUGCCAAUAGGAAAGCUGGUGAAGGUAGAAGCCAGGUCUGAGGACUGAGCCAACGUAUCAGGAAUUAGAACCAGAGCAAGAGAUGAUAAAUUACUGUAAACUCAGCACAAUUCUAUGCAUUGCGGCCAAUGAAAGAAUUCUGGCCUAUUUGGUAGGCUGAAAUUGCUUCCUUCUAGUCUGAGCCAAUGAAGAUGGGUUGAAGGUGAUAGCAAUGCUGAGCCUUCUAGAGACUUCAGGAAUGGCUGAGGUGGAAGGCCAGGGGAGGCUGUAUUACUUGAUAAGAGUUGAGAUGAUGCAGAGGACACCUAGUCACAGUAAGGAGGCUGGCAUAGUCCAGGCUGAAGAGAACAGUGCCUGACUGAGGAGAGGUGGUAGAAAUGCAGGAGAAAAGGGAUGGCGAAGGACAUUUCCAAUUAAGAAGUCAGUAGGCUUCAGUGACAAGUUUGCUAUCAUGGACAGAGAAGGCAGAACCUGAAAUGAUUUCAGGUGGAUUUUAAAUGCUUGAGUAAUAUGACAUUUUCUCUCGUGAGCUGAAGGGGUUUUCAUGUACAAAUGCAAUUAUUUUGGCCUAUUUUAAAAAACCCAAAUAAAGUAAAGUAGUAAGCAAAUCAAUGCUAGGCUUACUUGUGGGUUUGUUGGCUUUACAUCUCAUUCCUGUGGGUCUGCAUAGGGCCAUUUCAGAGCAACAGUCACCCAGAGCAUGGGAAUAAUUAGAAAGUGUCCUUGUAAAGAUGUGUCCUUCCUGGCCCAAGAUGGUACACUGACGUUCAUGUACACAGGCAUGAUUGAAAAGCCCAAGGUGGGACCCAUGUGGAUCCUGCCAUGCUGCUCUCAUGGGGCCUUUGCUGCUGUAGCUGUUUGAGGUGUUGUUCUGUGCCUCUUUGACCCACCUGGCUGGAUCAGCCUUUGCUGAAGAACAUGUGCUCCUGCCUGGUGGCAGCUUCACAACUGGCUUCUCUAUCUGCAGCUGUUUUUUCCCAGCUAUUCAUGUGGUGUCACACAAAAGGAAGCACGCAGGGACUUCACUAUUCACAAAGGAGGAUGGCUGAGACCUCAAGGGGGACACUAUUUCUCUUUGUCAGGGCAAAUACAGAAUCCUUACUUGGGUUGGGAAAAUUUCUUUUUAUAGGUAUGUGAUAUUUCUCUUUUUAUUAGGUUUAAGUCUGCAUAUGGGGGUGAAAUGGAUUUCGGAAUCAUUACACAAAGUAGGGAAAAAAAUUUAAACAGCAGUAUCACUAUAAAUGACCCUGGUUGUAUUUUUGAAAUGUUGAGCUAAAUAUAUUUUAGUGAUCAGUGAAAGGCCAACUUUGGCACUUUUGAAAAUUUGUUCUUUGAAAGGCCUGGAUUAAUCAUCAGUUUCCAUUUUGUUCACAGAUGUACUGCUUCCAGAACUUGGGGGACAGCCACUGAAUUUCUGCUUCAAAUCACCUCUCACUGGAAAUAGAACCAUUGGAGAAUCAUCUUGUUACCUUCAGUAAAGGAAACGAAUCAAGGCAUUGAGAAUGCCACAGUGGUGGGCAGCCACACCAGCUUUGCAGAGGAAGUUUUCAAGACAGUGCAGCUCACGAGCCAGAAACCAGCAAAGACUGAACCCAUCCUUUUCGUUUCAGCUGCUCCUUAAAUUAACGCAACCCCUUCAAAUUAAUGUGAAUUGAAACAUGCAUUGCCUUUCAACUUAAUUGAGUACUUACUAUGUGUGAAUCACUGCACAAAAUAGGGGAGAGAAAUAGAGGGAGACAAAUAAGAUGUGGAGCCUGCCUUCAAUGAAUUUACAAUUAGUUUCAUGUUGCUUAUUUUUUUCUUCUGCUCUUAAUUAGGUGUGUCCCCAAGACAAGAAACAAAUGAGUGGAAAAGUGUAUUCUGUAAGUAUUUAAAGUCCCAUUAAUGAAAAACAAAAUUAAACAAAUUAUAACAACACAACAAACUCAUGUGGGCAACUCAGGACAUUUUAAUUUCAUUUUUUUGGUUCGACUUUUGAUGGAUAAGUUCCAUUUUAUUUUACUUAUUUAUCUUAUUUUGUGGUAUUCAGUGGAUGUUAGAGACAUUAAUAUGUAGUUUGAGUUAAUAUUUUUUGAAGGGUGGUAACAGGGAUUGAACUCAGGAUCACUCUGAGCCACGGAGCCACAUCCCCAGCCCUAUUUUGUAUUUUAGUUAGCACCUCGCUUUUUCUGAGGCUGGCUGUGAACUCUCCAUCCGCCUGCCUCAGCCUCUUGAGCCAUUGGGAUUACAGGUGUGUGCCACUGCGCCCGGCUAGAGUUAAUUUGAAUUAAGUUCUAUAUUUUUUUCCUUUAGGUGUAGAUCAUCUGUUGGCAAAGUGUAUUGUUUGUCCAUUUCUUAGUGAGUGAGAAGGUGAAUCACACCUGUUGUCUCUACAGGUAUCAACCCUCCAUGUCCUCAGGUCUUAUAUUCUGUGUGUCACUAGCAUGGAGAAAAGGAGGAUGUGAAACUUGGGGUGGUACUCCUGGACCCCAGAUUGGACAGGGAAGGAGCAAAACCCACCUGGGCAAUGGCUGUCUGUGAAAAUUUGACUAAGUAGUUAUUUCAUUGUUCAUUGUGUUGUCCUCUGUGUUCCCUAAGUUGAAUGACUACAAUUUUUCUAAAAAUUUAUUUCUGAUUUGAGACUAAGUGUAACUUGUGAUUUUUCCAGUGUUAAGGCUUUGACAUGACUGUAGACACUAGACAUUUUAUGUAGUGUCUGUGACACAUUUUAGUAUGUAUGAGCCAACAAUAGACAUGUCUUUCGUCUUGAGUAGUGUCCAUCUGAAUUGAAAAUGUGCCAGCUUUUUUUUAACAUCAUCAACAGACUUCUUAAUUAAACUGCCAAUACAUACUGCCAAUAGCACUGUGUGCUGUCUGAGAAAUGAAUGAUGAAAGUGCUGCUUCCAUCUUAUUAAACAAUGCUGCUGCACAUAUAAUGGAUUUAAAGUGCUCUUUGAGUGGGGUACUAUAUUGCUCCCUCUAUAAUUUGAUGAGAAUUCUCAUACCCUCUCUUUUAAUUUCCAAAAAUUACUAUUUUGUUCUUCAGUGAGGAAUAGCUCUAAUUUGACCAGUAACUGCUUAUAUGAUUCCUCCUUAGUAGGAUGAAUUGCCCCAUACCAAACUGUUCAUUAUGAUAGUGUAUAUUUAUGUCACUUUUAGUUUGCAUGAUGUAGCUUCCAGGAAUUCUUGGUUAUCAGCUUGUGUUAUACCUAACUUUAUAUCCUAUUCCCCAUACUGGGAGAUUUUUUUGGAGCAUAAUCUCUUCAUUCCUGAUGCCUACCUAACAUAGUACCUGGUGUAUAGUAGGUGUACAUUCAGUUUGGUGAUUAUGGAAUGUAAAGUAGCUCUUUCACUGUGGAUCUUAAGGCUCUAUAAAAGAUGGGGGAGGGUCUUGCUAAUGGAAUAUUACCUUUCUUGGUUUGUAGUUUACAGUCAAUCUUCUGAGGAUGAACUUAAGUAAAGAACAUUUUCAUACAGUCUAGUCCCCUGGGCCUCUUAAAUGGUGCCAUGGGGUCACUAGUUCAGCCCUAUUUGUACCCAGGUCCACUCUGCUGCCACUGGCCCUUGCUCCAUUCUCCACAUAGGGUGGGGCCUUUAAAGAGGCUGCUCCACUUUUUUUUUUCCUCCAGCUUCUCUAUCACUAGAAUAAAAAGCACUCAUCCAUGGGGUACUCAUGAUAUGCUAGGCACUAAGUGCUUUAUAUGUAUUCUCUCAAUUAUCUCAUUUAAACUUCACAACAUCCAAGUGAAAUAGGCACCACCUAUCACAGAGGUAUGUCUUGCUUAAGGCAUGGAUAUCAAAAUCCAGAUCUCUUAUACUCCAAAGACUGAUCUGUUAACCCCUACCCUCUGUUGCAUCCCAGGAGAAAUUUUGGUGCCUGGUGAAUGCAAGCAUGUGUGUGCUUAAUAUAUGUGUAGGGGCAGAUCAAAUCUGGAUAAAGUCCAGAUUCACUGCAUUUAAUAUUCUUGAAUGACACACUGUCUAACAGAUAAAAACCCAACAAAUCACAGUUGUUUGAAGAAUGGGGGAAGGGCUGAGCAAUUG